This 253-nucleotide ribosomal RNA is filed under the name uncultured bacterium. RNAcentral's name for it is "partial 16S ribosomal RNA". It matches the Rfam family "Bacterial small subunit ribosomal RNA", at positions 524 to 776 of the family's 1533-position model. The record is from RNAcentral.
UACGUAGGUCGCAAGCGCUGUCCGGAUUUACUGGGCGUAAAGAGCGCGCAGGCGGCUGGCCAAGUCCGAUGUGAAAGCUUCCGGCUUAACUGGAAAAUUGCAUCGGAAACUGGUCGGCUUGAAGGUGGGAGAGGGUAGCGGAAUUCCCGGUGUAGUGGUGAAAUGCGUAGAUAUCAGGAGGAACACCGGUGGCGAAGGCGGGACUCUGGGCCGAUACUGACGCUGAGGAGCGAAAGCGUGGGGAGCGAACAGG